RNAcentral lists this ribosomal RNA (253 nucleotides) under uncultured bacterium. RNAcentral describes it as "partial 16S ribosomal RNA". It matches the Rfam family "Bacterial small subunit ribosomal RNA", at positions 524 to 776 of the family's 1533-position model. The record is from RNAcentral.
UACGUAGGGACCAAGCGUUGUUCGGAUUUACUGGGCGUAAAGGGCGCGUAGGCGGCAUUGUUAGUCACUUGUGAAAUCUCCGGGCUUAACCCGGAACGGCCAAGUGAUACUGCAGUGCUAGAGUGCGGAAGGGGCAAUCGGAAUUCUCGGUGUAGCGGUGAAAUGCGUAGAUAUCGAGAGGAACACCUGAGGUGAAGACGGGUUGCUGGGCCGACACUGACGCUGAUGCGCGAAAGCCAGGGGAGCAAACGGG